GACGAACGCUGGCGGCGUGCUUAACACAUGCAAGUCGAACGGAAAGGCCCUGCUUGCAGGGUACUCGAGUGGCGAACGGGUGAGUAACACGUGGGUGAUCUGCCCUGCACUUCGGGAUAAGCCUGGUAAACUGGGUCUAAUACCGGAUAGGAGCCAUUUUUAGUGUGAUGGUUGGAAAGUUUUUUCGGUGUAGGAUGAGCUCGCGGCCUAUCAGCUUGUUGGUGGGGUAAUGGCCUACCAAGGCGGCGACGGGUAGCCGGCCUGAGAGGGUGGACGGCCACAUUGGGACUGAGAUACGGCCCAGACUCCUACGGGAGGCAGAAGGGGGGAAUAUUGCACAAUGGGCGCAAGCCUGAUGCAGCGACGCCGCGUGGGGGAUGACGGCCUUCGGGUUGUAAACUCCUUUCGCUAGGGACGAAGCUUUUUGUGACGGUACCUAGAUAAGAAGCACCGGCUAACUACGUG
RNAcentral lists this ribosomal RNA (465 nucleotides) under uncultured bacterium. RNAcentral's name for it is "partial 16S ribosomal RNA". It matches the Rfam family "Bacterial small subunit ribosomal RNA", at positions 28 to 507 of the family's 1533-position model. The record is from RNAcentral.